GACGAACGCUGGCGGCGUGCCUAAUACAUGCAAGUAGAACGCUGAAGAGAGGAGCUUGCUCUUCUUGGAUGAGUUGCGAACGGGUGAGUAACGCGUAGGUAACCUGCCUUGUAGCGGGGGAUAACUAUUGGAAACGAUAGCUAAUACCGCAUAACAAUGGAUGACACAUGUCAUUUAUUUGAAAGGGGCAAUUGCUCCACUACAAGAUGGACCUGCGUUGUAUUAGCUAGUAGGUGAGGUAAUGGCUCACCUAGGCGACGAUACAUAGCCGACCUGAGAGGGUGAUCGGCCACACUGGGACUGAGACACGGCCCAGACUCCUACGGGAGGCAGCAGUAGGGAAUCUUCGGCAAUGGGGGCAACCCUGACCGAGCAACGCCGCGUGAGUGAAGAAGGUUUUCGGAUCGUAAAGCUCGGUUGUAAGUCAAGAACGGGUGUGAGAGUGGAAAGUUCACACUGUGACGGUAGCUUACCAGAAAGAGACGGCUAACUACGUG
RNAcentral lists this ribosomal RNA (497 nucleotides) under uncultured bacterium. RNAcentral describes it as "partial 16S ribosomal RNA". It matches the Rfam family "Bacterial small subunit ribosomal RNA", at positions 28 to 507 of the family's 1533-position model. The record is from RNAcentral.